This 472-nucleotide ribosomal RNA is filed under the name uncultured bacterium. Its description in RNAcentral is "bacterial SSU rRNA". It matches the Rfam family "Bacterial small subunit ribosomal RNA", at positions 13 to 487 of the family's 1533-position model. The record is from RNAcentral.
UUUAUCCUGCUCAGAUUAACGCUGGCGGCAUGCCUUACACAUCAAGUCGACGGCAGCACGGGGGCAACCCUGGUGGCGAGUGGCGAACGGGUAGUAUACAUCGGAACGUGUCCUGUAGUGGGGGAUAGCCCGGCGAAAGCCGGAUUAAUACCGCAUACGACCUAAGGGAGAAAGCGGGGGAUCUUCGGACCUCGCGCUAUAGGGGCGGCCGAUGGCAGAUUAGCUAGUUGGUGGGGUAAAGGCCUACCAAGGCGACGAUCUGUAGCUGGUCUGAGAGGACGACCAGCCACACUGGGACUGAGACACGGCCCAGACUCCUACGGGAGGCAGCAGUGGGGAAUUUUGGACAAUGGGGGCAACCCUGAUCCAGCAAUGCCGCGUGUGUGAAGAAGGCCUUCGGGUUGUAAAGCACUUUUGUCCGGAAAGAAAACUUCGUCCCUAAUAUGGAUGGAGGAUGACGUACCGGAAGAUG